Molecule: small RNA, 540 nt
Filed under: Pan troglodytes (chimpanzee)
Lineage: Eukaryota; Metazoa; Chordata; Mammalia; Primates; Hominidae
Description: retained intron
Source: RNAcentral
AGCACAGCGGAGGGAACAAGUCUCCAGAGGCAGAAGGGUCAGCUAUGCCGAGAACACGUUUGAACUUGAAAAACAUUCGGGGACAGAGAAAACAGAGCUGCAAAAUAAUAUGGUGAUUAAUUGGAUAUGGAAUUUGAAUUGAUGAAGAUAUUUGAAACACCCAAGAAAGAAGGUUUAGUGAGGAGAUGAAAAGAGCAGAUUUGGGAUAAGAUGUUAAUAGAAUAAGUGAAAAUAAGAAUAUCCAGAAGUUAAGACAGGAACCAAAAGAACCAAAGAGGGAACCAUUCAUACUUCAAGAUCUGUAAGAAGAAGUAGCAAUAUUUAAUAUGGAAUCAAAAGCUUGUGAAUCAAGUAAUGAUCUUUUAUCAAGUAGUGGUGUCACAUCUAAUGGAGAGCAAUGAAUUGCAUGAGAAACAAAAGUUUUAUUUGAGGCAGUCAGUCAUUGAUUUGCAAACAAAACUUCAGGAGAUGCAAAUGGAGAGAGAUGCUAUGGCUGACAUCAGACGAAGGGAGAGUCAGUCCCAGGAGGAUUUAAGAAAU